This 27-nucleotide unclassified non-coding RNA is filed under the name Mus musculus (house mouse). RNAcentral describes it as "oocyte_clustered_small_RNA2497". Lineage: Eukaryota; Metazoa; Chordata; Mammalia; Rodentia; Muridae. The record is from RNAcentral.
CUGUUCAGUACUUUUCCCCCUGUGCCC